Non-coding RNA from Malus domestica (apple), 291 nucleotides. NCBI's taxonomy places the organism in Eukaryota, Viridiplantae, Streptophyta, Magnoliopsida, Rosales, Rosaceae. The record is from RefSeq and is a predicted model, not a curated record.
UAUUUUCUCUCUUUACAUUUUCAGUUUCUGGUGGGCUUUACAACUUGGAAAGUCUUUUCCUUUCCUGAGUUGGGUCCCCGUUCUUAAUAUGUGUCCAACCUUCAUAAGGUUGUUCAAGCAAGGAAAGCAAGUACGCUAUUGGCCCUGGCAAUGCUUUACCAUUGUUGUUGAAGGAAAGCUCUGUUUUGUAAUUCAAGACCACAUUAGAUUACUAGGUCCAAUAUUUUUUAAGAACUUUAACGAAAAGCACCUGGUACUGUUCACUUUAACGAAAAACCAUAUUUUUACACU